UUUCCGUAGGUGAACCUGCGGAAGGAUCAUUAGCACUCUGUUGUGAAGAGGGAAGGAAAUUGAACGGGUGUUUAUACCCUCAUCCCUUACUUUUUUACCCUACUAUUCUAUUCUCUAAUCAAACCAUACACAAAACCAAAACAAUAAUAACUGUUAAUAACAACUCUCAGCAACGGAUAUCUUGGCUCGCACAUCGAUGAAGAACGCAGC
Molecule: unclassified non-coding RNA, 210 nt
Filed under: plant metagenome
Description: partial contains small subunit ribosomal RNA, internal transcribed spacer 1, and 5.8S ribosomal RNA
Rfam family: 5.8S ribosomal RNA (bases 162-210)
Source: RNAcentral